Acanthosepion pharaonis is the source of this 114-nucleotide non-coding RNA. Lineage: Eukaryota; Metazoa; Mollusca; Cephalopoda; Sepiida; Sepiidae. The record is from the annotation of a GenBank genome assembly.
UUACGGCUACAUCAUGCUGAAAUACCGCUACCCGUACGAUCACCGAAGUUAAGCAACGUCGAGCCGGAUCAAUACCUAGAUAGGUGAUUGCUUGAGAAUAUCAGGUACUGUAAG